Molecule: ribosomal RNA, 556 nt
Filed under: Shewanella sp. C1
Lineage: Bacteria; Pseudomonadati; Pseudomonadota; Gammaproteobacteria; Alteromonadales; Shewanellaceae
Description: partial 16S ribosomal RNA
Rfam family: Bacterial small subunit ribosomal RNA
Source: RNAcentral
UGGGGAAUAUUUGCACAAUGGGGGAAAACCCUGAUGCAGCCAUGCCGNCGUGUUUGAAAAAAGCCUUUNGGGUUUUNAAAGCACUUUCANGUAGGGGAGAAAAGNUUGACNGNUUAAUACCCNNUNNGCUGUGACGUUCCNUACAGNAAGAAGGACCGGCUAACUCCNGUGCCAGCAGCCGCGGNUAAUACGGAGGGUNCCGAGCGUUANUCGGAANUANCUGGGCGUAAAGCGUGCGCAGGCGGUUUUUUAAGCGAGAUGUGAAAGCCCCGGGNCUCANCCUGGGAAUUGCAUUUGNAACUGGCAAACUAGAGUCUUUGUAGAGGGGGGUAGAAUUUCAGGUGUAGCGGUGAAAUGCGUAGAGAUCUGAAGGAAUACCGGUGGCGAAGGCGGCCCCCUGGACAAAGACUGACGCUCAUGCACGAAAGCGUGGGGAGCAAACAGGAUUAGAUACCCUGGUAGUCCACGCCGUAAACGAUGUCUACUCGGAGUUUGGUGUCUUGAACACUGGGCUCUCAAGCUAACGCAUUAAGUAGACCGCCUGGGGAGACGGCCG